RNAcentral lists this small RNA (25 nucleotides) under Arabidopsis thaliana (thale cress). Its description in RNAcentral is "ATSL060940". The record is from RNAcentral. Lineage: Eukaryota; Viridiplantae; Streptophyta; Magnoliopsida; Brassicales; Brassicaceae.
GGUUCGAUUUUUUUUUUUUGGUUUU